CUCCACCCCCAGCCCCAGCUCCAGCCCCCAGCCUGUCCCCACUGCUCAUAUCCGAGCAGAUAGACCCCGGCCCCACCCUCCCGUGCUGAGCCUCCUUUCUGCCGGGAAGUUCGUCCGGGAGUCAAACAUCGCUGCCCUCCGGUUGCGCCACGGAGGGGGAGCCAGGAUAGGAAGCUGCCAUGAAAUCAGGAAGCUGAGCGCGCCGGGCCCCGGAUCCGAUCAGAAAAGGCUUCCACCUGCUCCCCUGAGCGAUCCCACGCUGAGGGACUGAACCCCGCACCCCAGCCGCGCUCACCACCCCCACGCUCUCGCCUGGGCUGCUCUGACCUGGGGUUCACUUUCUGAAGAUGAUUCUGAAGAAGAGGAAUUGGAAGAGGAAUCCGAGCCUUCUGAAUGAGUUGGUUUCUUCCUUUUUUUCUCAAAAACUUUUAAGAAACAUUAAUAAAAACAUUAGUACU
Molecule: non-coding RNA, 458 nt
Filed under: Pongo abelii (Sumatran orangutan)
Lineage: Eukaryota; Metazoa; Chordata; Mammalia; Primates; Hominidae
Source: RNAcentral